CCUACGGGUGGCAGCAGUGAGGAAUAUUGGUCAAUGGGCGGAAGCCUGAACCAGCCAAGUAGCGUGCGGGAUGAAGGCCCUACGGGUCGUAAACCGCUUUUGCACGGGGAUAACACCCUCCACUUGUGGAGGUCUGCAGGUACCGUGCGAAUAAGGGCCGGCUAAUUCCGUGCCAGCAGCCGCGGUAAUACGGAGGAUGCGAGCGUUAUCCGGAUUUAUUGGGUUUAAAGGGUGCGUAGGCGGAUCGUUAAGUCAGUGGUCAAAUUGAGGGGCUCAACCCCUUCCCGCCAUUGAAACUGGCGAUCUUGAGUGGAAGAGAAGUAUGCGGAAUGCGUGGUGUAGCGGUGAAAUGCAUAGAUAUCACGCAGAACCCCGAUUGCGAAGGCAGCAUGCCGGCUUCCGACUGACGCUGAAGCACGAAAGCGUGGGUAUCGAACAGGAUUAGAUACCCUAGUAGUC
Molecule: ribosomal RNA, 459 nt
Filed under: uncultured bacterium
Lineage: Bacteria
Description: partial 16S ribosomal RNA
Rfam family: Bacterial small subunit ribosomal RNA
Source: RNAcentral